Molecule: ribosomal RNA, 253 nt
Filed under: uncultured bacterium
Lineage: Bacteria
Description: partial 16S ribosomal RNA
Rfam family: Bacterial small subunit ribosomal RNA
Source: RNAcentral
UACGUAGGGUGCAAGCGUUGUCCGGAAUUAUUGGGCGUAAAGAGCUCGUAGGCGGUUUGUCGCGUCGGGAGUGAAAUCCACUGGCUUAACUGGUGGCUUGCUUUCGAUACGGGCAGACUGGAGGUAUGCAGGGGAGAACGGAAUUCCUGGUGUAGCGGUGAAAUGCGCAGAUAUCAGGAGGAACACCGGUGACGAAGGCGGUUCUCUGGGCCUUACCUGACGCUGAGGAGCGAAAGCGUGGGGAGCAAACAGG